This 224-nucleotide long non-coding RNA is filed under the name Mytilus galloprovincialis (Mediterranean mussel). The record is from RNAcentral. Lineage: Eukaryota; Metazoa; Mollusca; Bivalvia; Mytilida; Mytilidae.
GGUGUAUCUGAUAGUACAGUAAAAUUAAAGUAUGUUCUUCCAUUAAAAGCGUUAAUUUGUUUAUGAAAACCUUGAAUUUGUUGAAUUUCCAUCAAACUUGAUCGUGAAAGAUCAGGCAACGUAUUAUUUCGAUCGUGAAAGAAAAUGCGUGACCAGACUUAAUACUAGUAAUCAGAAAUCAGUAUUUCUUUUACCAUUUGAUAAAUCUGCAAGUGGUUGAAGCC